GGGCUAUAGCUCAGCUGGGAGAGCGCCUGCUUUGCACGCAGGAGGUCUGCGGUUCGAUCCCGCAUAGCUC
This 70-nucleotide transfer RNA is filed under the name Salmonella enterica. Its description in RNAcentral is "tRNA-Ala". It matches the Rfam family "tRNA". Rfam says of the family: Transfer RNA (tRNA) molecules are approximately 80 nucleotides in length. Their secondary structure includes four short double-helical elements and three loops (D, anti-codon, and T loops). Further hydrogen bonds mediate the characteristic L-shaped molecular structure. tRNAs have two regions of fundamental functional importance: the anti-codon, which is responsible for specific mRNA codon recognition, and the 3' end, to which the tRNAs corresponding amino acid is attached (by aminoacyl-tRNA synthetases). tRNAs cope with the degeneracy of the genetic code in two manners: having more than one tRNA (with a specific anti-codon) for a particular amino acid; and 'wobble' base-pairing, i.e. permitting non-standard base-pairing at the 3rd anti-codon position. The record is from RNAcentral. Lineage: Bacteria; Pseudomonadati; Pseudomonadota; Gammaproteobacteria; Enterobacterales; Enterobacteriaceae.